Molecule: small RNA, 139 nt
Filed under: Citrobacter werkmanii
Lineage: Bacteria; Pseudomonadati; Pseudomonadota; Gammaproteobacteria; Enterobacterales; Enterobacteriaceae
Also listed under: 2 other names
Description: RtT sRNA
Rfam family: RtT RNA
About the family: This family represents a bacterial cis-regulatory element known as RtT RNA. The exact function of RtT is unknown although it is thought that it may be involved in changing the cellular response in relation to amino acid starvation.
Source: RNAcentral
UAUAUUGCACGCCUGCGGGGGAUGAGAAGCCCCGACCGGGGUUCGACUGCUGGCGCAGCCAGCUGGACAGACCGGGAGCAUCGCGAACGGGCUGCCCCGAAGGGGCGAGCAAAGCGAGUCAAUCCCCCCCUCACCGCCA